CACGUAGGGUGCAAGCGUUGUCCGGAUUCAUUGGGCGUAAAGGGCUAGUAGGCGGCUUAGCAAGUCGGGUGUGAAAACUUCAGGCUCAACCUGGAGCGGCCAUCCGAUACUGCUAUGGCUAGAGUCCGGUAGGGGACCACGGAAUUCCUAGUGUAGCGGUGAAAUGCGCAGAUAUUAGGAGGAACACCGGUGGCGAAGGCGCUGCUCUGGGCCGAUACUGACGCUGAGGAGCGAAAGCGUGGGUAGCAAACAGG
Molecule: ribosomal RNA, 254 nt
Filed under: uncultured bacterium
Lineage: Bacteria
Description: partial 16S ribosomal RNA
Rfam family: Bacterial small subunit ribosomal RNA
Source: RNAcentral